This 512-nucleotide ribosomal RNA is filed under the name uncultured fungus. RNAcentral's name for it is "SSU rRNA". It matches the Rfam family "Eukaryotic small subunit ribosomal RNA", at positions 214 to 726 of the family's 1831-position model. Lineage: Eukaryota; Fungi. The record is from RNAcentral.
AUUAAAAGCCAACGCCCUUCGGGGCUUCCUGGUGAUUCAUAAUAACUUUUCGAAUCGCAUGGCCUUGCGCCGGCGAUGGUUCAUUCAAAUUUCUUCCCUAUCAACUUUCGAUGCGAAGGUCUUGUCUUCGCAUGGUUGCAACGGGUAACGGAGGGUUAGGGCUCGACCCCGGAGAAGGAGCCUGAGAAACGGCUACUACAUCCAAGGAAGGCAGCAGGCGCGCAAAUUACCCAAUCCCGACACGGGGAGGUAGUGACAAUAAAUACUGAUACAGGGCUCUUUUGGGUCUUGUAAUCGGAAUGAGUACAAUUUAAAUCUCUUAACGAGGAACAAUUGGAGGGCAAGUCUGGUGCCAGCAGCCGCGGUAAUUCCAGCUCCAAUAGCGUAUAUUAAAGUUGUUGUGGUUAAAAAGCUCGUAGUUGAACCUUGGGCCUGGCUGGCCGGUCCCCCUCACCGGGUGCACUGAUCCAGCCGGGCCUUUCCCUCUGUGGAACCCCAUGGCCUUCACUGGC